GAUGAACGCUGGCGGCGUGCCUAAUACAUGCAAGUAGAACGCUGAAGGAGGAGCUUGCUCUUCUGGAUGAGUUGCGAACGGGUGAGUAACGCGUAGGUAACCUGCCUGGUAGCGGGGGAUAACUAUUGGAAACGAUAGCUAAUACCGCAUGACAACAGUUAUUGCAUGAUAACUGUUUAAAAGGGGCAACUGCUCCACUACCAGAUGGAGCUGCGUUGUAUUAGCUAGUUGGUGAGGUAACGGCUCACCAAGGCGACGAAACAUAGCGGACCUGAGAGGGGGAUGGCCAAAACGGGACUGGGAAAAGGCCCAGAACCCUAAGGGAAGGAGCAGGAGGGGAACUUCGGAAAAGGGGGGAAAGCCGACCGCGGAACGACGGGUGGGGGAAAGAAGGUUUCGGGUCGGAAAAGUCUGUUGUUAGGGAAAGAAGAGUGUGAGAGUGGAAAGUUCACGCUGUGACGGUAUCUAACCAGAAAGCGACGGCUAACUACGUG
This 494-nucleotide ribosomal RNA is filed under the name uncultured bacterium. RNAcentral describes it as "partial 16S ribosomal RNA". It matches the Rfam family "Bacterial small subunit ribosomal RNA", at positions 28 to 507 of the family's 1533-position model. The record is from RNAcentral.